ACUUAAAAUGACACUGGGGAAAAAAAAAAAGCCUGCAAACGGAAAGAGCGUUCUGUUUGGCUGUCAGUGUGUGUGCAUUAAAGCCUGGGCAUUUUCCGGCUUGCCGCCGUCUUCAUUUCUCACUAACUUUUAGGACCUGAGUUCAAAUCGCAGCAACCACAAGGUGGCUCACAACCCUCCGUAAUGGGAUCUGAUGCCCUCUUCUGCAAAAAAGAAUGAAUAUAGAAAACUAUUCUCAGAGAAGAGCGCACUCGAGCUGGAGCACUGUGGGGAUGCUGGUGAGGUGGUGUUCCUACAGAGGCAAAAAUGGAAGCGUGAGGAGAUCGCUUUCAGGACUCAAAAUUCUCCACUUCAAAGAAACGUUUCUGGAAUUAGGCUGUGCCAUUUUAUAAUGCUCAAUUCAAGAAGCAGACAAA
Long non-coding RNA from Apodemus sylvaticus (European woodmouse), 416 nucleotides. RefSeq lists it as uncharacterized. The transcript is spliced from 3 exons. Lineage: Eukaryota; Metazoa; Chordata; Mammalia; Rodentia; Muridae. The record is from RefSeq and is a predicted model, not a curated record.